Molecule: long non-coding RNA, 1746 nt
Organism: Mus musculus (house mouse)
Lineage: Eukaryota; Metazoa; Chordata; Mammalia; Rodentia; Muridae
Product: predicted gene, 54237
Exons: 2
Source: RefSeq, a predicted model, not a curated record
ACUCUUAAUUUCAGCCCAGCAGGGAAAUAAAAACAAGACAGAACCAGGAAAGCAUCUGGCACCAGGCUAAGAGGGGAUCCCUCUCUUUGCUCUUUUGACUGCAGCAAACGCCAGAGCAGAGCAGAGGGAGCUUAGCAAUAACUCUCCUUAAGGUUUGCCAAGGAAGCCCUUAGUAAGAUAAUGGGCUAUUUGUUAGGGCACUGUUGAAGGAUAUGAACUCUACCAAAAGGAGGCACUCAAAUAACUCUCUGUAUGAGCUCACUGGACCACCACAUGUCUCCAUGGCCAGCAAAAGAGGUUUUAGCCUGUGGAAACAACCCCUAGCCAAAGGCUCUAGUCUAAAUAAUAUUUAGUCAGUGCUUUAAAGAAAAUAAAAACGUCCUGUUCAAUUAGAUUCUUCGUGAAUUCAAAUGAUUUUUACUAGAACAAAAGGAAACAAAAAGAAGAAAGAAGAUUCUGUUUUACAAAACAAUGAAGACUCAAGAGUUAGGCAUAGAGUAUACCUAAAUGUUGAAACAGAGAGUAUGAAAAGAAGACUUUGCGAGUAUUUUAACACAUGAGAAGUUUGAGAGUCUGUCUACCUGCUGCAUCUUCAGAGAAAAACAAGCCAUCAUCACUGCUGGAAAGCUCCCACCACUGCAUAUACUCAACAGCCCCUGAAUAAUGGUUAAUCAUCUCAGCCUUCACUAGUUCUCUGAGGGACAGACAAAGGGAGGCAAGAGUUUCAACCAGAAUCUGCAUGUGUUAAGUCUUUUGGAGUUGUUGCUAAGUGGGGUUACGUAGACCUUCAUAAACAUUAUAGGCUAUUACCGUUGUUCAUGGUCAUCUUCCAGAACUGGUUAGCAAGAUCAUAUUGCUAAAACCAUUACAUGCUUGCAUUGUCUAACAUGUUGGAAUCAAGCUGUUAGGAACCUCUGUGCUUCAUCUCUAUUGGAUGUUUCAUGGUGCUAGACAGUGGUAUACAAGUUAGCAGAGGAGAAAAGGUAUCAUCGUCCUUAUUGAAAAUGACAUUUUUUUUUACUAAUUUUUAUUAAUUUACUCAUUUUGGACAUGAGUGUUGAAUGUUUGACAGCAAUGUAAGCAGAAUCUUGACAAAGACUUGUAUUGUUCUCUAAAGUUCCUGACGCCUGCACCUUUAUAAUCAGGACUGCCCAGUUCUACCAUCUCAAUAGUUGUGUAUGUGUUUUAUGUUUUGAAGUUUUGCCUUUUCCAGAAUCUACUUUGUCUCUGGUAUAAAGUAGCAUCAUGGGAUGGCCCCCUGGGUGCAUUUGUUUCCCCUAGGAUAAUACUUGAGAUCCAUUCUUAUUGCAUUUGCUGGUAAUUUCUCUGCUCUAUGGAGUGCUAUGCUCUACCAUGUCAUGAUUUGUUUAUCAUUUACAGUUAAUGGGUAUUUGGGUUGUAUCCACUUUUUUGUUGGUGAUUAUGAAUAUCUGUUUGUUAACAUUGGUUCAUUUGUAUAUAGGAAUGUGUGAGUUUUAUUUCUCUUGGGUACAUAUCUAAGGAGAAAAUAACUGGAUAAACUAGUGUAGUGUUUGACUUUUUGCUUUUAACAGUCUGGUCUUAGUUUUAGAAUGAUUUUUACAGUUUUAUAUCUCAAUAUUGCCACAGAACUUGUCUUUGAUUUCAGUCCUUUAUUUAAUCUAUUCUGAUAUGAUGGAGUUGGUAUCUUAAUGUGGUCCAAACUAUAGUUUCCCUAAUGACUAAUAAAAUGUACCAGCUUUUAGUGUGUUUAUUUGCUCCAUAUCA